CCAGUUUGAUUCUGACUGUAAAAUUAACAUCAGCCAACCAACAUACAUGUAAAAUAUUUUAUACCCGCACUAAUAAAACACCUAAAUGAUUUAUAACUGUAUUCAGAUAUUCUCAAUACAAUAGAGCGCCACAGUAAAUAACACUUUUCAAUUUGAGAAAUCAGGAAAAGGGUAUGGUAUAAGGGCUGGCAAAAUUCGUGCCAGCUGCCGCGGUUAGACGAAAAGCCCAAGUUAAUAUAAUAUAAACUAAAUUAAUGAUAAAAUAAAAAAUAACAAAGGUCUAAUUUUCAAAAUCUAUGCACCCCACUUAUCAGAUAAAAAUGAAAUCAUGAACUAAAACAUGGAUUAGAUACCCACCUAUUCAUGACAUAAACCAUAGUUGAAUAUUACGAACAACAGUUUAAAAUUCAAAGAUUUUGGCGGUGUCUUAUAAAACCAGGGGAACCUGUCUCAUAACUCGAUAAUCCACGAACACCAAACCCCCUCUAGAAUUUCAGCAUGUGUACUGCCGUUGUAAGCAUACCUUUAAAAGAGUAAGUGUGCUACUAUGACCCAAAAGACUCAUAUACAUCACGUCAAAGUGCAGCCAAUAAGGGGGUGAUGAUGGGUUACAACCCUAAAAUAGACUAUCAAAUAAGAAAUUAAAAAUCUUACGAAAGUGGACUUGGUCGUAAUUAAUUUAUAUAAUAAAAAAAUGAAUAUAAAUCUAAGACAUGCACACAUCGCCCGUCACUCUAUCCAAAAGGUUAGAUAAGUCGUAACAAAGUAGGUGUAAUGGAAAUUGCACCUGU
This 791-nucleotide non-coding RNA is filed under the name Metaphire guillelmi. The record is from RNAcentral. Lineage: Eukaryota; Metazoa; Annelida; Clitellata; Crassiclitellata; Megascolecidae.